Molecule: ribosomal RNA, 253 nt
Filed under: uncultured bacterium
Lineage: Bacteria
Description: partial 16S ribosomal RNA
Rfam family: Bacterial small subunit ribosomal RNA
Source: RNAcentral
UACGUAGGGUGCGAGCGUUGUCCGGAAUUAUUGGGCGUAAAGAGCUUGUAGGCGGUUUGUCGCGUCUGCUGUGAAAAUCCGGGGCUCAACCCCGGACUUGCAGUGGGUACGGGCAGACUAGAGUGUGGUAGGGGAGACUGGAAUUCCUGGUGUAGCGGUGGAAUGCGCAGAUAUCAGGAGGAACACCGGUGGCGAAGGCGGAUCUCUGGGCCUUACCUGACGCUGAGGCGCGAAAGCUAGGGGAGCAAACAGG